UACGAGGGGGGCGAGCGUUGUUCGGAAUUACUGGGCGUAAAGCGUGCGCAGGCGGUUCGUUGUGUCGGCGGUGAAAGCCCCGGGCUUAACCUGGGAAUGGCCGUUGAAACUGGCGAACUGGAGUGUGGCAGAGGGGGGUGGAAUUCCGCGUGUAGCAGUGAAAUGCGUAGAGAUGCGGAGGAACACCGAUGGCGAAGGCAGCCCCCUGGGCUAACACUGACGCUCAGGCACGAAAGCGUGGGGAGCAAACAGG
Molecule: ribosomal RNA, 253 nt
Filed under: uncultured bacterium
Lineage: Bacteria
Description: partial 16S ribosomal RNA
Rfam family: Bacterial small subunit ribosomal RNA
Source: RNAcentral